AAUAAGAUGCCUGAAAAAAGGAUCAUUUUGAUAGAAUGAACCAUGUGGAAUUCCACUCUUAUUA
Molecule: transfer RNA, 64 nt
Filed under: Byrrhinus sp. BYR01
Lineage: Eukaryota; Metazoa; Arthropoda; Insecta; Coleoptera; Limnichidae
Description: tRNA-Ile
Source: RNAcentral